GUCCGCAGAAACGCGGCGGGGCCGGCCCUCGGCCGCCGGAGUCCAGCCCGGCGUGGCUCCGGAACCCCGCGGCCGCCCCGCCUCCGCUCCUGGAAGUGGCCGCUCGGCGGGAGCAGGCAGCCGGGGAGGCUGGCGGCUGGGGGCGGCGGCUCCGACGCCGGGGAGUCUCCGCGGGGCCUACGUCCCGAGCUGGCCAAGGCCAGGCCCCAUCUGCCCCGUCGAACCGGACAACAGGUGCCACAGGUCGGGCUCCGGAGCACGGUGUGCGGAGCCGCCAGGCUGCCUGACUGGCAGGAGUCGGCCCCGGGCCCCUCCCCAGACUCCGCUGCUGGGCUCCCUGAGCCUUGGGUCCUUCCACUGUGAAGCGGGAUGGUUGUGAGAACUGCAGGAUGAUUCAUCUCAUGAGAAUUUGAACGCUGGUGGAAAACUGUACAGAAAAUCCAGCCCGCCCUUCCAGCAGAGCCAGUAAACUCAUCUAAGUAGAUGGCUUGAGCCAGAGGCAGGAUUUGACUUCGACAUUUUCACAAUGAGAUGCUUGGGAAGAUGGAGAGAAGGGGCAUGGAUUCGGUCUGAGUUCCCUCCUCAGGCUCAGUGAACAUGGCUGAUAAUUCAGAGAAACAAUCCCGGAAUCAAAAGAAUUCUGUGGCCCUCUUGUUGGCAGCACCUUGGAAAGAAAAGAAGCUGAGGGAGGGAGACUCAAAACAAGUAGUUGGAGCAAGAACUGUUGGAGAGAUUCCUAAGCAGAGAAGAGAGGAAGACAUUCAGCUUUUUUUUUUUUUUUAAGAUUUUAUUUAUUUGACAGAGACAGCGAGAGAGGGAACACAAGCAGGGGGAGUGGAAGA
Molecule: long non-coding RNA, 842 nt
Organism: Zalophus californianus (California sea lion)
Lineage: Eukaryota; Metazoa; Chordata; Mammalia; Carnivora; Otariidae
Exons: 3
Source: RefSeq, a predicted model, not a curated record